CGGGUUCGGAUUAAACCUGUUUGGGAUACCCGUUUAAGUGAGGAAAUGUUUUUAAUUAUAAAUUUCCUUUUUCUUUUUCCUCCCCACACGCUGAACCCAACCCGAUCCCUCACUUCUUCCCCGACUUCUCCUCCUCCUCCCCGGAUCUCCCCUCUGCUCGAAGCCGAUCUCGCUUCCUUCUCUGUUCUCUCUCACGGACGAUCGGCGCCGACGGGAGCAAGGCUUCAGCUCCGGCGAUCACCCUCUGCUGACAUCUCUUUCCCCGACCCUUUCCUCUCUCUGUUCCUCGCAAACAACUCGACGCCGACGGGGCUUGCAAUCGUCUUCACCGCCUGAGGAGGAGGUCGCCGGAACCUUGCUAGAGGUCGAACAAGGAGGCGGAUCCUCCUGAUCUCAUGUUCUCAGGUCUUCCCCGAGCCUUUCCUUCCCCGAUCCUUCUGGGUUUUGCCGAUCCUUUCUUCCCCGAUUCGAUCGCUGGCUUGAAGAUGACCUAGGGUUUCGAAGGUCACGGAUUUGGAGAGGUUGGAAUCAGGGAGGUGUUGUUGGAUUAGGGGAAGGAAUCGGAUCAGACUCGUGCUAGGUUUUCCCUUGAUCGGAUCAGUGGACCUCCACCUCCUUGCUGUUGAUUGAGGUCUCGAAUUGAAGUGAGGGGAGGUGAGGUUCCAUUCUUGCUGUGGAAUUGUGUUUGGUUCCGGCAGUAACAAUCACCUCAAUCCAGCAUCAACAGUAGGUUCGAUCUGCUCUGUUCUAUUUGUGAACUUUCUGAUUUCGGCAGUAAACCAUCCAGCAACAACAACAACUGGAUUUGAGGACUCUGAUUCGAGACGGGCGUCUCGACUUCGGAUUAGGAUUGGAUUGUACCUUCUCUUUGAGGCGGGUACCCUUUGACUUAUCUUUUGAUACUGUCUUAUGAUAUGUAUAGUUUAUAUAUAGUUGCUAGUGAUAGGUGGUAGAUU
This is a long non-coding RNA of Zingiber officinale, 956 nucleotides long. RefSeq lists it as uncharacterized. The transcript has 4 exons. The record is from RefSeq and is a predicted model, not a curated record. Lineage: Eukaryota; Viridiplantae; Streptophyta; Magnoliopsida; Zingiberales; Zingiberaceae.